Long non-coding RNA from Manacus vitellinus (golden-collared manakin), 291 nucleotides. RefSeq lists it as uncharacterized. The record is from RefSeq and is a predicted model, not a curated record. The transcript is spliced from 3 exons. NCBI's taxonomy places the organism in Eukaryota, Metazoa, Chordata, Aves, Passeriformes, Pipridae.
GUUGCCUACGGGGAGCCAUCAUGGCGCUGGCUCCGUGCUGCACUGUUCCUGUCCUUGAGCCCAGGCCCUGAGGUGAGGCUGAGAAGUGGCGCGGAGGUGAGCCCAGAGCUGUCCCUGAGGUGAGGCUGAGAAUAAGUGCAAGGCAGAGGUGCUGCUGAGGAAGGAGAGCCCUGUGGUGGGGAAGAAACAAAGCUGUGAGUGCCCAUCCCCGAGCAGGUGCUGUGUCCAUCCCCUGUGUGCCAGGAUUUGUCCUUCCCAAAGCUUGGGCGGAUGGAGGAGGAGGCUGCGAGG